RNAcentral lists this small RNA (4664 nucleotides) under Rattus norvegicus (Norway rat). Its description in RNAcentral is "uncharacterized LOC102548198". The record is from RNAcentral. Lineage: Eukaryota; Metazoa; Chordata; Mammalia; Rodentia; Muridae.
GUGUAUAGCACAGCAUAAUAAGAAAAUCUCCUUUUCUUUCUUGGACAGUGUUAUUGGACUCAUUUGUCCAGGCAGGGAAGCCGGUUCCUUGCCAGCAGAAAAAGCACCGCCAGUCAACACAUUCCCAGCACCCUUACCGGCAUCCACAGAGCACUGAGUGAAGAGUUUCUGGUUUCAAAAUGGUCCAGUUCUCGUUAGACCAUGAAAGCCAGCCCUUGUCUUUUCUGAGGAUUCUUCACUUUAUUUCAAUAGAACGUUAAGACUUUACUCAUAAUCUGUGAAUCCUGUGCUCGUGGAUAAAUGCAAAUAUUGCCAUCACCUUCUACUGACAGAAGACUCCGGUGUUACCAUGGAGAACAGUGUUAAUCCUUUUGUAAUUAGAGCUUUAUUUCAGUCUUCGUCGGGCAAGGAUGGAGUCGGAUUUUGUAAUAGAAGACCCGGUUUAUGUGCUGAGAUGGAUCCAAGCCAGACAGAGAGUGAUCGUGAGGACCGAAAAGUGACUUUGAGGACCAGGAAUCCUUGUGUUUGUUCCACCCCCGGCUCCCCUCUGACCUACCAGAAGACACGAGUUCAUCAAUCUUAUUGUUAAGAAUGACAGCGGCAAGAAACCAAGACUGGGAAACUUGAAGACAUGCCGGGGGAGACUCUUCCACAGGAAAUGCAGCCCUACAUGUAAAGCGAAGCUACAAAACUCCCGGGAACAAAUCAAAAGAGGAAGAAAUCGCUGUGAUCUUGGGUUGGUCCAAGAUUUCUUAGAUCUUUCACCAGAGGCAGGCUUCAUUGCCCAACAGACUCCUAAGCGAAAUUGACCAGUUUGGGUUUUCAUUACCAGCAUGAAAUGAAACCAUACAGCUUAGAAGGAAAUGUUUACAAAAUACUCAUGUGAUAAAGAGCCCAAACAAGCUGCACAAAGAACCCUCAGAAACACACCACUGAGAAAACAAUCCAAUUAAAAAAAAUGGGGUCGUAGAUAUCGUUACCAAGGAGAGAAACCAUCCAGCUUUCUUUGUUCUUCAUUGACUUAAAGACCCCAACUCUGGAGGUCAUACACCUGGAUAAUGCAUUAUUAGUGUUCUCGGACAUUGCUGAAGAUAACUCCUUUGAUGCGUGGAUUAUGAUGCCAACAGUUGCCUAGGUUACUUUUCAGAGAGAGAAAGAGAGAACUGUGCUUACAAAUUACUCUUCUUGGGCUACCGGAAAAAGCCCUCCCUCCCCACAGUACUUUUCUCAUAGAUGUUGAUCUUUGUGAAGGACGUGCUUCCUGACCUGGGUUGGAUAGCCAUAUGAAUAAGUAAUUUACUAAAGAAGACACGUAAAUGGCGAAUAAAGACGGGAAGUAAACGCUCAUUGUUGUAGUCACCAACAAGAUGCAAGAAAAGCUGCAGGGGGAGGAUGCUUCCUGUCAGUUAAUGAAAAAUAGAUUGACCAUAUCAACUAAAACUAGAGGAAUGGCGGUCUCUGUUCGCUGCUGUUGGCAAAGUAAGAUGUUACAACUUCAGAAAGCUUUCUUGCUGUUUGCUACAAGGUUAAACCCACUGAGAUUGCGCAGUGGCUGGUACUUACUGCUCAAGCAUGAAGACCUACAUUCAGACCCCAGGACCCAAUUAAAAGUCAGUUGUGGCAACAGAUGCCUGUAACCUGGGUGCUAGUAGAGGAGGGAAGAGACAGGGAGAUCCCUUCUGAUGGCUCGCUGGUAAGCCAGCCUAGCUGCAAGGGAAACGGGGAGUUCCUGACAAGAUCCAAAAGCAAUCAAGAGGGAGAUUCCAAUGUCAGGCCUUGGUCUACAAAUGUACCCAACAUGCACGCAUACAUGCUUACGUCAUCACACCCAGAUAAAAGCUCAACACUCAACCAUCCAGCUGACAAGAAGAAAUACAUCCGUGCAAAGGUCGGAACUAGAGGGUUCUGAGCACCCAUUUUGUCCUGAUCAAAUCCUCAGAACAACUCUAAUGUCUCUGGGGGUACCAAUAAGCAGAAUACUCUUAUGAACAAAAAAGAAAGAAAGAAAUUUGCAAAUCAGCAUGCUGAGUGAAAGAAACCAUACUACAUAAGCCCAUUUGUAGAUAAUUCUAGAGAGGGAGAACCAAAUUCAUUUUGGCUGAAAGCCUGUAGCCAUGGCAACAAUUAAUCCAAGGGGGUGGGGAUUAUGAAGAAAUAUCUCUGUGAGGUAGUGACAAUCUAUAGAUGUAGAUAUUUGAUUUCAUAUUUAUAUUUAUCAUAUUUUAUUCUUAAUGUACAGUUUUGAUGUCAAUGCUAUCUCAACAACCUUUUUUUUUAAGAAGGCCAAACAGCAUGCUGUAUCCUAGUGAGCAAAACUAGCGUUCUUAACGUCACUAAUAGAGAAUUGAAGACAGAGAAUAAUGAUAAUGAUAUAAGCCUCCACUGAACCCAUCCUGGGUGCUCAGCCCUUUAAAGUCAACCUUAUCCUCGUACUUUGUCACAGAAGAAUGGACUUCACAUUCCUUAGUAAGCUCUGAUACCUAACUCUGGCAGGUUGCCAUGGAGCACAUGUCCAACCACAGUCUGAGAUGUGAGGCACCAACACAUUUCUCAGUUGGCCUACUGUGGAACCAGGACAGCUGUGGGCUGGGAGGAACGUAGGAGGGGCUGUGGUCUGUGAAGUCUUGCUGGGACUGGGAUUGGGGGAAUGUGGCCGAGCCUGCUGAAGAGCAGGAAGGUAGGAGCCUUUGAACCACAUCAUCUUACUUAGUCAUUGCAUUUCUUUCUCUGCCCUUAUUUUCAUUUUCUGCAUCCUUUUCUGAUAGGGUCGAGAUGGAAAACUGGUAUGUCUACUGUGUUUGAUGGCCACAGAAUACAGCUGAGCCCUGGGCCUGGGAACAAAUCUACCUUUCCUGGUGGCAUUCACUUGUGCAAGUGAAGCCUCACCGAUUCUUAAGAUAGAGGGAGUCCAGCGGCUGCUCAGCACCAGCCCCAAUCUACAUUUUUUUACAGGAAAAAACCCACAAGUGAUUAUGAUUUGGUGAUCUGUCAUUCACGAUGCCAGUCUGAUUUUGUGCUAGUUCGCAUCAAGCAGGGCGAUUAGACCCAUAAUCUAAUCACAACUGUAAAGAGGGACUGUCUCCUCCCCAGUUCCCAAGUCUCUACCCUAAACACACUGUAGAAUGACAAUCUAAACUAAUUGCCAAUUAGAGAUGGUCAUAAGGAGUGUGGGGUGUUGUUGUAAAGCCGGUGUAAACCUCUGAUAUUAUGAUAAUUGUUUUCAAGGAAAAACGGGAUUAGAGGCGAGCCAUGAAAACAUGAAGGGCAUUCAGUGUUUGGCGGCUCAGGGGCCUCGCUAAUCUUUAAGUCUCUGAAAGGAAUAUUGUUAAUACUACAUGACAGAUAAAUUAUAUCUUGAACCUCUAGAAAUGCCUGGAGGGAAAUAAAAAAAAUGCUGUUAGCAGACAGACUUCUUAGGAUAUUCCCAGGAUGCUUCUGGGUUUCCAGAAACCCAGCUAUGGGCCUCAGUGAAUCACAUGCGUCACAUUACCAAAACAGUCACAUGAGGCGGCCAGCAGUUAGAGGUAGCAAAGUAACAGAUGUGUCCGUCUCCUGGUCACCCCACCUGGGAAGUACUACCAUCAUUUCCUCCUUUUAUUUUAUUUUAUUAUUUUUUAAGAUUCUUUGUUAUUUUGCCAGGGCACCGGAAGACAUAUGUCACUUUUCCACCUUAACGGGGCAUUUUCUGGUUUGUUUGGAUUUAUGUCGCAAGCUUAAUGAGAUUUAAAUGGAAUUUUUGUAUGUGAAUAAUACAGAGGCUUAAUGCAAAACUCUCCUCUGCUGUAAGGCUGGUGUGCAUUUGCAUAAAGGUAUUUAAAUAUGAAAGAAAGAUCUUGGAGAUUCUAUAAAUCACCAGGCCUUAGCUACGCUGGAGCAACACAGGGACCAGUCAGCCUAGCCACAAAUAAAGUACUUUCUGGACAAGGGCCAUGUCUUUACUUUUCUGCCAUAGAAAAACAGCCAAGGUGGGCUGGCCCUGAGAGGAGAUGGGGAACUAGUUGGCCUCAGCAGCUCCUAUGGAAUAUCUGGGCCCCUGUUGUCACCAAAUAAAUAGUUACCUCUGAGUUCCAGUUAGAGGCCAUGAUGAGUUGACAGAUUGGCAGGUGGAGAGUACACGGAAGAAAGAGUGAAUUAUGAACCAGAUGUGGCAGGGUCGUCGCUGUCAUUAUCUUUUUAAAUAACAAGUGGUGUCUACUCCUGAGACCCAUCUGUAUGGACAGGUGAAUGGAGGUCACCCCUCUGUUUCUCUUUCUGAGCCUGCCUCUUUCUGCCACCAUCAUGGGGUUUGGGGGGAUUUUCUGAGGUGGCUCUGAGUCAAUGUACAGCUCCCCCUAGCCUGAUUCUGAGGACUCUGGGAUUUCCUGGCAUGGCUCUGGCUUUGCAGUCACUGGGGGAUGGCUUUUCUUACAUUGGGUCACCACACGGUUGUCAUCUCCCUUAUAUUUGACCUCGGAAAUGAAAGGCAAACUGUGACCUAGAAGCACUAAGUCAGAUGGCUCAGUGGGUAAAGGUGCUUGCUCUUAAGCCUUAGGAUCAGAGUGUGAUUACUGGGGCCUCUAAAUGGGAAACCCAACCCCCAAAAGUUGUUCUGUGACCUCCGAAUGCACACCAUAGCAAUCUCAGGGUGGUACUCACAACCGUACACAUACACACUGUAAUGAAAG